GUACCUUUUGGAGUGUUCUGUGAGUCCCGCUCCUUGGGACAGAAAAGACAAAGACAUCUGGGGGAGACCAGCAAGAGGCUGUUCACCAUGCUCUUGUGAUGUCUGCUGCAGGACAGCUGCAUGCCCCAAGCGAUGGCACUACCAGGCCCAUUCUCUUCUGCUUGCAGAUUGCCAGCAUUUCCCCAGUCCUGCACCACCACAGGCAUUAUAAAGGAGCUGCCGAUGCUGGAUUUAAAUUCUUUCCUGCUGUGAGUUGCCAGGCAACUGCCACACAACUUCACCUGCAGGCAGCUGGCUUUGUCCAUUGUCCCAUUCCAGGGCAAAGAAGUGAAAACUCCAUUCAUGCAUCCUGGAUUUUAUGACCUGAGAGGGUUGGGGCUGGAAAGUGUCAGCCUGCCCACCCCGCAGGUGGGCAAUGUUCACCAGUACUGAUCUGGCCUAGCUCAGUUUGAUGAUGAUUUGUGUUUGGGUUUUUGUGCUUUUGGUGUAAUCUCUUGGUAUGCUUCAGCAUGUACAGAUGUUCUUGGGGAAGUGUGGAUUGCCUUCUACAAUCACUGUAAAUCAGCCCAGAUAGGUAUGCUAGUAUGUUUUCUGAAGUUGGAUCUUGCUUUAAACCACUGCUGUUCCUUACUGACUUUUAGUAGAACUCAGAUAAUUUACUACAGUCAUGAAAAUCUGCCCUUCCUCAUAGAGAGUUAAAAUCUCCAAGAAGACUGUUACCUGAUCGAAUAAUGAGUAGCUUGCUUCACUGCAUCGCCCUUAAGUGAUGAAUCUCUUUCAUUAUUACCACCGGUUUUCAAAGGUGCACCUAUGGUUGUACAUGGACUUUUCAAGCAAAGUUCUUGCUGAGUUGCACUUAGCAUUUUAUUAUUAUCAGUUCCAUAUAGUUCAUGGUUGCCUAUGAGUUCUUGCUGCUAAAGCAUAGAAUAUGCUGCAUGAAAAAAUAUUUAAUGCUUAUUCCUCCACAAAGUGAGCAGGGAAACACACAAAAAAACCCCAAACCCACUCAAACCAGACUGCAGGCACAUAGAGCCCCCCCUCUGCAAAGUGCUUGUGUAUAAAGAAAAAAAAUGCUGCUGGCAACAAUGACAUAUCUCCCUUUAGGUAUUUAACCGGUGUCAGCAAAGUCAAUGAGAGGGACCCAACAUGCAGUCAAAGAUGUGAGGAAGUGUUUGCAGAGUAAAGGCCUUACAUUUCCAGGGAAUAACUUCUCUUGGAAAACAAAAUGGCAAAACUUACUAACGAUUUCUGGGAGAUGAAUGUCUUAUCUUGUGUCUGCUCUAAGUUGCAUUUCCUAAGCUCUGUAACUUCUCGUCGAUUACAAAGGUGGCCCAAUGUAAGCAGAACAUCAUGCCUUUAGGAGUGAAAGCACAAAUGAACUGCUUUCUAUGUAUUCUGUUUAGAAAAAAAUGAGGCAGGUAUAGCUGAAAGAACUUUUUUUUUUGUGAAGAAUAUUAGCUUUAUCAGCAUAAACUUAUGACAAAAUAUUUUAAAGUGCGUGGAGUUAAUUACAUGAAAAAUACAGGAGCCAUCCCAUGAAGAUGUCUAGGCUGGAACUUGUAAUUAAACCAAAAAGAGGUCACGGGCAAUGAUAACGUGCCUCAUUCCAAUUAGGUUUUGUUUCUGUUGAAUGAAUAAUUAACACUCUGAGCUUGUACAUCUACUUAGCAUUAAGUCCAGGACAGAGACUUACAGAAGGGCUGAAAAUGCGUGCUAAGAAAAUGGUUAUUACACCUUUGACUUCUGUGUAGUGUAAAUAAAAACUGCAAUCUCAGU
Molecule: long non-coding RNA, 1776 nt
Filed under: Gallus gallus (chicken)
Lineage: Eukaryota; Metazoa; Chordata; Aves; Galliformes; Phasianidae
Description: lncRNA (ENSGALG00010016625.1)
Source: RNAcentral